AAAAAAAAGAAAAAAGAAAAAAAGAUUACUACACGGUGAAAGGAGGAAGAGAGAUUGAGAGAAAAGAGAGAUAGAGAAAUAGAGAGGCAGAGAUAGAGAGAGACAUCACCAUAAGGGCGCCUUUCGUUUCUCCUAUUCGGAUACUUUCUUUUCGCUUCCUUUUCAAUUUUCUUAACACCGAUGCCUGCGAUCCAGAGAUAGAGAAGGAGGAAAAAAAUACACCUUGCGAUACAGAGUUGAGAAGGAGACAGUCAUUGAGAGAACUACCACCGGUUUGGAGAGCGAAAAAACAGAGAAAUAAGAGAGAAGGAGAGAGUUCUCCGUCCCUCUCUAGACUUAGAGCACCGCUGCAAGCACAUGGGGAAAGAAAAAUCUAUGGGCAUCAACACCGUUAGGCUACAUAUCUGCCACCAUCAAAUCGUUGGAACCGGCUCCGUUUUCCUAGAUUAUCUGCUGCUAAACAAUCUCAAAACCGAGACUUCUUGCCAAGUGCCAAAUCAAGUUCAAAGGUUUCAUAAGAGGGAUAAUCAUUCCAGUACAAACCAAAAGAAAAGAAGACUGGGAUAGAGAGAGGGAGUUCACUAGGCCAUAUGCCUGCCAAAGUCCGAUCUCACACCACCAUCAAACUCGGGUUCUUCUUUUACCCUUUUUAAAAGUAGUUGGGUUGAUUCUAGUGAAGCGAAGAAUUAUUAAUGAAGACAAAUGCCAUAUCUGUACAAGGGAGGCGGAGACAGCAAUUCACGUGUUAUGGGACUGUGCUGCGGUAACAGAUGUGUGGGCUGGGAGUAUUCCAAAACUGCAGAAGGGAGCUUCGGUUUUCUGAGAUGUUAUGCAGCUGGUGGAGUAUCUCAUGGACUAGCUCUCAACUGAAGAAAUGGAGCUGUUUUGGGUGCAAUGUUGACUCGUAUAGAACCAACGUAACUGUGUACUAUAUGAAGGAUAGCUAAAGAACCCGACCAGUCUCAACAAGAGAGCAGAGGAGUUUUUGCAGGAUUUUAAGCAAGCCCAAGUGCAUUUAACAGUGAGUCCAAUGGAGCAACCAAGUGGUGAAGUCUGACAGCCACCUCCACCAAUGGUAUAUAAGCUAAACUUUGAUGUAGCAAUAUUUUCAAGGAUGGAGAAAUCUGGUAUAGGAGCAAUAAUUCGAAAUGAGAGGGGCGAAGCUAUGGCUAGUAUGUCUGCUAUUGGGCCGAAGGUGGAAGCAGGUGAGGAAGUUGAACUGUUGGUGUGCAGAAGAUCUCUUGAAUUUACUGUGGAUGCUGGUUUCACUAGAGUAAUGAUCGAGGGAGAUAAUACCAAUGUUAUGCAAGCUAUUUCUACAGAUGUGGCUAACUAUUCAUUCCUAGGCAAUGUGGUUGAUGAUAUUCACCAUUUGAUGUCUAGUUUACAAUGGAUUACAACUAGUAAGAUUAGGAGGGGUAGUAAUAAGGUAGCACAUGUUCUUGCGCAACAUACUAGAAAUUUAGAAUCUGAUUUGUAUUGGUUGGAGGAUUCUCCCCCACCAGCUUUGGAAGCCUUGUAUUAGGAUUCAUUAUUAUUAUGAUUAAAUGAAUGAAGUUUCUUUCUCAAAAAA
Molecule: RNA transcript, 1573 nt
Organism: Quercus robur (English oak)
Lineage: Eukaryota; Viridiplantae; Streptophyta; Magnoliopsida; Fagales; Fagaceae
Exons: 5
Source: RefSeq, a predicted model, not a curated record